Brachypodium distachyon (stiff brome) is the source of this 135-nucleotide non-coding RNA. NCBI's taxonomy places the organism in Eukaryota, Viridiplantae, Streptophyta, Magnoliopsida, Poales, Poaceae. The record is from Rfam.
CUUAUACUCCCUCCGUCCAACAAAAAUGUCUCAACUUUCACCAAAUUUGAAUGCAUCUAUACACUAAGUCAUGUCUAGAUACAUCCAAAUUCUAACAAACUUGAGACAUCUUUUGUUGGACAGAGGGAGUAGCAC